CUUCCCGAUAAUGUCUGGCUCCAACAAUGUUGGCACCCGUAUCGCGAAAAAUUAGUGAAUGAAUUGACUUAAUUUCAUUGGAGCCAGAAGUAAGCAGUCAUUUCCAGUGGGUGACAUCACACUCACUCAGUCCAGAUCUCUUAUACAGUCUUCUUAUUUACUGGGGAUUUCUCUUUUGAGGUGUACAGCGUGGCAGAUACAAGAAAGUUUCAACUCUUUGUCAAAACACAAAUUAGAAGAUCUCACCUGCCAGGAAAGGAGUGUGGGAGCGGAGAGGUCUGGGAGAUCACGACCUUAAUUCUCCCCAAGACAGAGGGUUUAAUUAAGACUGAAGGAUUCCUCACUGACUCCAGACCUCUACAAUGAGACUAUAAUAGGGACAUGGAUUGCACAGGCCGCAGUCAUUGUGUUCCACGUUGCACGAAGACCACCUCACAGGGAUUUUCCUCUUCACCAGGUAGCCACAAAGAGGAAAAGAAGCGUAUUAUCCACAUGUACGGCAUCCGACCCCUCUGUACCACAUUAUGCUGACCACCAGCACUGCAGGAAACGCACGUCCACACAGACACACACGCACGCCAAACAGCGUAUUAUCUUUAUGAGGUGUUACACACCAGUGACCACCAACACAGGGUCUCAGUGUUCUCUAAUCCACACUCCGUCUGAAAAGACUGCUCCGUGCAACAGAGGGAUUACAAUGUCGGAUUAAUGGGAGUUUUAAUUUGAGUCAUUAUAAGAGUCUUUGCUUAUAAGAAGAAGUGAGGAAAGAUGUUUACAUUCUUUGUAUAUAUUUUUUUAUAUAUUUAUUUUUUUCAUUUGAUACAAAUGUACUCUCUACUGUCGGUUUAACCAUUAAAAGAAAUGUGUCAACAGUGUAUUAGUCAUUGUAUUGGCUUUAAUGUACACACUGAUACCUCUGAUACAGUGUUUUUCAACCAGUCUGCUGAGAUGGGAAUUAUUUCAUUUCACCUUAUUGGUCUAAGAAACAUUUACCAUUUCCACCAUCAGUUCUGUAUUCAUUCAAACAGGUUCAGGUUUUACUCUGAGUAUUUAGGCAUAUAAAAGAUCACAAAAUACUUUUUACUUUGCAUUUAAUUCUUAUUUAGGGUGUUUUACUAGUAUGGAAUAAGUUUAUUUUAUUCAUGUUAAUUAAUGCUUUAUUAUGCAUUAACUUACAAAAUGAAAA
Molecule: long non-coding RNA, 1186 nt
Organism: Oryzias melastigma (Indian medaka)
Lineage: Eukaryota; Metazoa; Chordata; Actinopteri; Beloniformes; Adrianichthyidae
Exons: 3
Source: RefSeq, a predicted model, not a curated record